GGUCCCAUGGUGUAGUGGUUAUCACAGCUGGUUGCUGUCCAGUAGGUCCUGGGUUCGACUCCCAGUGGGACCA
Sarcophilus harrisii (Tasmanian devil) is the source of this 73-nucleotide non-coding RNA. The record is from Rfam. NCBI's taxonomy places the organism in Eukaryota, Metazoa, Chordata, Mammalia, Dasyuromorphia, Dasyuridae.